RNAcentral lists this ribosomal RNA (251 nucleotides) under uncultured prokaryote. RNAcentral describes it as "partial 16S rRNA". It matches the Rfam family "Bacterial small subunit ribosomal RNA", at positions 525 to 775 of the family's 1533-position model. The record is from RNAcentral.
ACGUAGGGGGCAAGCGUUGUCCGGAAUCAUUGGGCGUAAAGCGCGUGUAGGCGGCCAUCCAAGUCUGGUGUGGACGCUCGUGGCUCAACCCCGAGUCUGCACUGGAAACUGGAUGGCUUGAGUCCGGAAGAGGAGACUGGAAUUCCUGGUGUAGCGGUGAAAUGCGCAGAUAUCAGGAAGAACACCGGUGGCGAAGGCGGGUCUCUGGGACGGUACUGACGCUGAGACGCGAAAGCGUGGGGAGCAAACAG